Molecule: ribosomal RNA, 386 nt
Filed under: uncultured bacterium
Lineage: Bacteria
Description: bacterial SSU rRNA
Rfam family: Bacterial small subunit ribosomal RNA
Source: RNAcentral
AUUGAACGCUGGCGGCAUGCCUUACACAUGCAAGUCGAACGACGCUGGAGGGGCAACUCUCCAGCGAGUGGCGAACGGGUGAGUAAUACAUCGGAACGUGUCCUGUCGCGGGGGAUAACCAGUCGAAGAUUGGCUAAUACCGCAUGAGAUCGAAAGAUGAAAGCGGGGACCCGGCAAGGGCCUCGCGCGAUUGGAGCGGCCGAUGCCGGAUUAGCUUGUUGGCGGGGUAAUGGCCCACCAAGGCGACGAUCCGUAGCUGGUUUGAGAGAACGACCAGCCACACUGGGACUGAGACACGGCCCAGACUCCUACGGGAGGCAGCAGUGGGGAAUUUUGGACAAUGGGCGCAAGCCUGAUCCAGCCAUGCCGCGUGUGUGAAGAAGGCC